RNAcentral lists this ribosomal RNA (929 nucleotides) under uncultured organism. Its description in RNAcentral is "bacterial SSU rRNA". It matches the Rfam family "Bacterial small subunit ribosomal RNA", at positions 538 to 1481 of the family's 1533-position model. The record is from RNAcentral.
GCGUUAUCCGGAUCUAUUAGGUUUAAAGGGUGCGUAGGCGGGAUAGUAAGUCAGUGGUGAAAGCCUGCGGCUUAACCGUAGAAUUGCCAUUGAUACUACUAUUCUUGAGUACAGUUGAGGUGGGCGGAAUGUGUUAUGUAGCGGUGAAAUGCAUAGAUAUGACACAGAACACCGAUUGCGAAGGCAGCUCACUAAGCUGAUACUGACGCUGAGGCACGAAAGCGUGGGGAGCAAACAGGAUUAGAUACCCUGGUAGUCCACGCCGUAAACGAUGAUCACUAGCUGUAGGCGAUAUACAGUCUGCGGCUGAGCAAAAGUAUUAAGUGAUCCACCUGGGGAGUACGUCAGCAAUGAUGAAACUCAAAGGAAUUGACGGGGGCCCGCACAAGCGGAGGAACAUGUGGUUUAAUUCGAUGAUACGCGAGGAACCUUACCUGGGCUUAAAUGCUUUCUGAUCGUUUCGGAAACGGAAUUUCCCUUCGGGGCAGAUUGCAAGGUGCUGCAUGGUUGUCGUCAGCUCGUGCCGUGAGGUGUCGGGUUAAGUCCCAUAACGAGCGCAACCCUUAUUGUUAGUUACCAGCGGGUAAUGCCGGGGACUCUAACAAAACUGCCGGUGUAAACCGUGAGGAAGGUGGGGAUGACGUCAAAUCAGCACGGCCCUUAUGUCCAGGGCUACACACGUGUUACAAUGGCCAGUACAAAAGGCAGCUACCUGGUAACAGGAUGCUAAUCCCCAAACCUGGUCCCAGUUCGGAUCGGAAUCUGCAACUCGAUUUCGUGAAGCUGGAUUCGCUAGUAAUCGCACAUCAGCCAUGGUGCGGUGAAUACGUUCCCGGGCCUUGUACACACCGCCCGUCAAGCCAUGGAAGCCGAGGGUGCCUAAAGUCCGUAACCGCAAGGAGCGGCCUAGGGUAAAUCGUAACUAGGNU